UCUGAUACUGCAUUAGAACUCCAUGUAGUUGCUUGACUUCAUGGAGACUGGAGUGGAUAUGGGGGUGUCAACUCUAUCUGUGGACACUGAUUUGGCAAUGGUCUUUGGACCACAGUUUUCCAGGUGCUAUGGUGAACCCAUGAUCACAGCUUGGGGCAACCCAUUGGCUGGCUACCCUCAUGGGCAUGUGUUCAGACCACACAGCAAGAUACCCAACAAGCCAAAGCUGUGACUGAGGCCAUGCCAUUCUGUUUUCUCAAAGUGGCAAACAUAAAUGUCACAGACAAAUGAUAGCUCUCUCUGGCUACACUGUUACAGGCCAUGGGUACACUAAAAAAAUGAACACUGCUCCAUGCCCACACACCUCUGAAAUAAAAGUCUAAGGAAAACAAAGGGCAUAACACCACCACACCCAGGUACCGCAACACAUUCUGUCCAACAAUCACAAACAUCUCACCUAGGUUUGGGCAAGAAUUUCCUGGCACUGAAAUAUCAGCAGCAUGACCCCAGCAGAGCCUAAUCUAUCCUCCCAGAGGAGCCUGGCUACCUUCAAAUCACAAGUUACCUGAUGGGUUCCCAUUCUCACAUAAUUCUUUCAAUGGAUUUUCUGGAUACCUAUGAUGUACAUUGACUUUAUCCCAUAUAUCCCAACCACUGCUUUUAACUAAAAGUACUGAGGUACUGGUGGGAGUUGGGGGUGUCUAAGCUACAAAAACACAGACAAGAACCUUGGCUGAAAACACAACUCCAGGACCAGUGAGUGGGCAGUGACCCUACAGGAAGUGAUUCUACCCUAGGCAGGGGGAUGCUGCCCUACUUACCCAUGAUCAAAGAGCACUGGAUUAAGUGUUGGAUGCCAAGGUACCACUAAGAAAAUCUACCCUUAACAGCACUUCUGAGUCACUUCACUAGCAGGUCAGACGAGAGGGAGUACCUUCCUCUUUAACUUCCAAAGAAGGUAGAAUUCUUUAUAGGAGCCCUCCUACCAAAAUUCAGAGUAUCUGGCAGCUGUGUAACAAGCACCUUUCACCCCCAAUCCACCACAAUGACAGUGGUUAGAAAAAGAAAA
This is a long non-coding RNA of Perognathus longimembris pacificus (Pacific pocket mouse), 1069 nucleotides long. RefSeq lists it as uncharacterized. The record is from RefSeq and is a predicted model, not a curated record. The transcript is spliced from 2 exons. Lineage: Eukaryota; Metazoa; Chordata; Mammalia; Rodentia; Heteromyidae.